RNAcentral lists this ribosomal RNA (2904 nucleotides) under Escherichia coli. RNAcentral's name for it is "23S ribosomal RNA". It matches the Rfam family "Bacterial large subunit ribosomal RNA". Lineage: Bacteria; Pseudomonadati; Pseudomonadota; Gammaproteobacteria; Enterobacterales; Enterobacteriaceae. The record is from RNAcentral.
GGUUAAGCGACUAAGCGUACACGGUGGAUGCCCUGGCAGUCAGAGGCGAUGAAGGACGUGCUAAUCUGCGAUAAGCGUCGGUAAGGUGAUAUGAACCGUUAUAACCGGCGAUUUCCGAAUGGGGAAACCCAGUGUGUUUCGACACACUAUCAUUAACUGAAUCCAUAGGUUAAUGAGGCGAACCGGGGGAACUGAAACAUCUAAGUACCCCGAGGAAAAGAAAUCAACCGAGAUUCCCCCAGUAGCGGCGAGCGAACGGGGAGCAGCCCAGAGCCUGAAUCAGUGUGUGUGUUAGUGGAAGCGUCUGGAAAGGCGCGCGAUACAGGGUGACAGCCCCGUACACAAAAAUGCACAUGCUGUGAGCUCGAUGAGUAGGGCGGGACACGUGGUAUCCUGUCUGAAUAUGGGGGGACCAUCCUCCAAGGCUAAAUACUCCUGACUGACCGAUAGUGAACCAGUACCGUGAGGGAAAGGCGAAAAGAACCCCGGCGAGGGGAGUGAAAAAGAACCUGAAACCGUGUACGUACAAGCAGUGGGAGCACGCUUAGGCGUGUGACUGCGUACCUUUUGUAUAAUGGGUCAGCGACUUAUAUUCUGUAGCAAGGUUAACCGAAUAGGGGAGCCGAAGGGAAACCGAGUCUUAACUGGGCGUUAAGUUGCAGGGUAUAGACCCGAAACCCGGUGAUCUAGCCAUGGGCAGGUUGAAGGUUGGGUAACACUAACUGGAGGACCGAACCGACUAAUGUUGAAAAAUUAGCGGAUGACUUGUGGCUGGGGGUGAAAGGCCAAUCAAACCGGGAGAUAGCUGGUUCUCCCCGAAAGCUAUUUAGGUAGCGCCUCGUGAAUUCAUCUCCGGGGGUAGAGCACUGUUUCGGCAAGGGGGUCAUCCCGACUUACCAACCCGAUGCAAACUGCGAAUACCGGAGAAUGUUAUCACGGGAGACACACGGCGGGUGCUAACGUCCGUCGUGAAGAGGGAAACAACCCAGACCGCCAGCUAAGGUCCCAAAGUCAUGGUUAAGUGGGAAACGAUGUGGGAAGGCCCAGACAGCCAGGAUGUUGGCUUAGAAGCAGCCAUCAUUUAAAGAAAGCGUAAUAGCUCACUGGUCGAGUCGGCCUGCGCGGAAGAUGUAACGGGGCUAAACCAUGCACCGAAGCUGCGGCAGCGACGCUUAUGCGUUGUUGGGUAGGGGAGCGUUCUGUAAGCCUGCGAAGGUGUGCUGUGAGGCAUGCUGGAGGUAUCAGAAGUGCGAAUGCUGACAUAAGUAACGAUAAAGCGGGUGAAAAGCCCGCUCGCCGGAAGACCAAGGGUUCCUGUCCAACGUUAAUCGGGGCAGGGUGAGUCGACCCCUAAGGCGAGGCCGAAAGGCGUAGUCGAUGGGAAACAGGUUAAUAUUCCUGUACUUGGUGUUACUGCGAAGGGGGGACGGAGAAGGCUAUGUUGGCCGGGCGACGGUUGUCCCGGUUUAAGCGUGUAGGCUGGUUUUCCAGGCAAAUCCGGAAAAUCAAGGCUGAGGCGUGAUGACGAGGCACUACGGUGCUGAAGCAACAAAUGCCCUGCUUCCAGGAAAAGCCUCUAAGCAUCAGGUAACAUCAAAUCGUACCCCAAACCGACACAGGUGGUCAGGUAGAGAAUACCAAGGCGCUUGAGAGAACUCGGGUGAAGGAACUAGGCAAAAUGGUGCCGUAACUUCGGGAGAAGGCACGCUGAUAUGUAGGUGAAGCGACUUGCUCGUGGAGCUGAAAUCAGUCGAAGAUACCAGCUGGCUGCAACUGUUUAUUAAAAACACAGCACUGUGCAAACACGAAAGUGGACGUAUACGGUGUGACGCCUGCCCGGUGCCGGAAGGUUAAUUGAUGGGGUCAGCGCAAGCGAAGCUCUUGAUCGAAGCCCCGGUAAACGGCGGCCGUAACUAUAACGGUCCUAAGGUAGCGAAAUUCCUUGUCGGGUAAGUUCCGACCUGCACGAAUGGCGUAAUGAUGGCCAGGCUGUCUCCACCCGAGACUCAGUGAAAUUGAACUCGCUGUGAAGAUGCAGUGUACCCGCGGCAAGACGGAAAGACCCCGUGAACCUUUACUAUAGCUUGACACUGAACAUUGAGCCUUGAUGUGUAGGAUAGGUGGGAGGCUUUGAAGUGUGGACGCCAGUCUGCAUGGAGCCGACCUUGAAAUACCACCCUUUAAUGUUUGAUGUUCUAACGUUGACCCGUAAUCCGGGUUGCGGACAGUGUCUGGUGGGUAGUUUGACUGGGGCGGUCUCCUCCUAAAGAGUAACGGAGGAGCACGAAGGUUGGCUAAUCCUGGUCGGACAUCAGGAGGUUAGUGCAAUGGCAUAAGCCAGCUUGACUGCGAGCGUGACGGCGCGAGCAGGUGCGAAAGCAGGUCAUAGUGAUCCGGUGGUUCUGAAUGGAAGGGCCAUCGCUCAACGGAUAAAAGGUACUCCGGGGAUAACAGGCUGAUACCGCCCAAGAGUUCAUAUCGACGGCGGUGUUUGGCACCUCGAUGUCGGCUCAUCACAUCCUGGGGCUGAAGUAGGUCCCAAGGGUAUGGCUGUUCGCCAUUUAAAGUGGUACGCGAGCUGGGUUUAGAACGUCGUGAGACAGUUCGGUCCCUAUCUGCCGUGGGCGCUGGAGAACUGAGGGGGGCUGCUCCUAGUACGAGAGGACCGGAGUGGACGCAUCACUGGUGUUCGGGUUGUCAUGCCAAUGGCACUGCCCGGUAGCUAAAUGCGGAAGAGAUAAGUGCUGAAAGCAUCUAAGCACGAAACUUGCCCCGAGAUGAGUUCUCCCUGACCCUUUAAGGGUCCUGAAGGAACGUUGAAGACGACGACGUUGAUAGGCCGGGUGUGUAAGCGCAGCGAUGCGUUGAGCUAACCGGUACUAAUGAACCGUGAGGCUUAACCUU